RNAcentral lists this ribosomal RNA (492 nucleotides) under uncultured bacterium. RNAcentral describes it as "partial 16S ribosomal RNA". It matches the Rfam family "Bacterial small subunit ribosomal RNA", at positions 29 to 507 of the family's 1533-position model. The record is from RNAcentral.
AGUGAACGCUGGCGGUAGGCCUAACACAUGCAAGUCGAACGGCAGCACAGUAAGAGCUUGCUCUUACGGGUGGCGAGUGGCGGACGGGUGAGGAAUACAUCGGAAUCUACUUUUUCGUGGGGGAUAACGUAGGGAAACUUACGCUAAUACCGCAUACGACCUACGGGUGAAAGCAGGGGAUCUUCGGACCUUGCGCGAUUGAAUGAGCCGAUGUCGGAUUAGCUAGUUGGCGGGGUAAAGGCCCACCACGGCGACGAUCCGUAGCUGGUCUGAGAGGAUGAUCAGCCACACUGGAACUGAGACACGGUCCAGACUCCUACGGGAGGAAGCAGUGGGGAAUAUUGGACAAUGGGCGCAAGCCUGAUCCAGCCAUACCGCGUGGGGGAAGAAGGCCUUCGGGUUGUAAAGCCCUUUUGUUGGGAAAGAAAAGCAGCAGGUUAAUACCCCGCUGUUCUGACGGUACCCAAAGAAUAAGCACCGGCUAACUUCGUG